CUGAGAGCACGCCGCGUGAGUGAUGAGGUCUCUCGGAUCGUAAAACUCUGUUAUUAGGGAAGAACAAACGUGUAAGUAACUGUGCACGUCUUGACGGUACCUAAUCCGAAAGCCACGGCUAACUACGUGCCAGCAGCCGCGGUAAUACGUAGGUGGCAAGCGUUAUCCGGAAUUAUUGGGCGUAAAGCGCGCGUAGGCGGUUUUUUAAGUCUGAUGUGAAAGCCCACGGCUCAACCGUGGAGGGUCAUUGGAAACUGGAAAACUUGAGUGCAGAAGAGGAAAGUGGAAUUCCAUGUGUAGCGGUGAAAUGCGCAGAGAUAUGGAGGAACACCAGUGGCGAAGGCGACUUUCUGGUCUGUAACUGACGCUGAUGUGCGAAAGCGUGGGGAUCAAACA
Molecule: ribosomal RNA, 396 nt
Filed under: Staphylococcus lugdunensis
Lineage: Bacteria; Bacillati; Bacillota; Bacilli; Caryophanales; Staphylococcaceae
Description: bacterial SSU rRNA
Rfam family: Bacterial small subunit ribosomal RNA
Source: RNAcentral